Molecule: ribosomal RNA, 496 nt
Filed under: uncultured bacterium
Lineage: Bacteria
Description: partial 16S ribosomal RNA
Rfam family: Bacterial small subunit ribosomal RNA
Source: RNAcentral
AUGAACGCUGGCGGCGUGCCUAAUACAUGCAAGUCGAGCGAACAGACGAGGAGCUUGCUCCUCUGACGUUAGCGGCGGACGGGUGAGUAACACGUGGAUAACCUACCUAUAAGACUGGGAUAACUUCGGGAAACCGGAGCUAAUACCGGAUAAUAUAUUGAACCGCAUGGUUCAAUAGUGAAAGACGGUUUUGCUGUCACUUAUAGAUGGAUCCGUGCCGCAUUAGCUAGUUGGUAAGGUAACGGCUUACCAAGGCAACGAUGCGUAGCCGACCUGAGAGGGUGAUCGGCCACACUGGAACUGAGACACGGUCCAGACUCCUACGGGAGGCAGCAGUAGGGAAUCUUCCGCAAUGGGCGAAAGCUUGACGGAGCAACGCCGCGUGAGUGAUGAAGGUCUUCGGAUCGUAAAACUCUGUUAUUAGGGAAGAACAAAUGUGUAAGUAACUAUGCACGUCUUGACGGUACCUAAUCAGAAAGCCACGGCUAACUACGUG